Molecule: long non-coding RNA, 539 nt
Organism: Pimephales promelas (fathead minnow)
Lineage: Eukaryota; Metazoa; Chordata; Actinopteri; Cypriniformes; Leuciscidae
Source: RefSeq, a predicted model, not a curated record
GUCACAUUCUCAAAGCAAUGGAUCCACUUCCGCCUUUCUGACUUCUGGCCACCAACAUCUACAAUCCUUCGGGGAAAAAAAAGUGGUUUGUAGAACUGAAAACAGGAUCGGGGAAGCAGGAGGAGAGAAUGAGAAGGACACGCAGAACUGUGUAAAGGAGUGAUUAGGCAUGUCCUUCUGAUGUUCUUCAAGAAUGUGUCCCUCAAAACAUCACGAGACAAUGUUGCUUUUUUGUAAAGUUGACUUGCUAAGUUGCUAUUGACAACUUUCUCCGGGUAGAUGGCUCAACACAUGCUGUGAUAUUCUUUACAACACCCUUAUUACCUUUUAAUUUUAAUUUUUUUUAAAAACAUAAAUAAAGGUUAAAUAAAUAAAUAAAUAAAAAAAACAUGCAUAAACAUGCAUUUUCCAAAUAAUGGUUUACUCCCUUUACAGUUAAGAUGACUCCAGAUACACUCACCUGAUCUUAUUGCCUUGGGUGAUUUCUUCAGUGUCUAUAGUUAAAUAUAUUUUAAUAGGCAAAAAGAUCUUACCUAAUA